RNAcentral lists this ribosomal RNA (253 nucleotides) under uncultured bacterium. RNAcentral describes it as "partial 16S ribosomal RNA". It matches the Rfam family "Bacterial small subunit ribosomal RNA", at positions 524 to 776 of the family's 1533-position model. The record is from RNAcentral.
UACAGAGGUCUCGAGCGUUGUUCGGAUUCAUUGGGCGUAAAGGGCGCGUAGGCGGCGGGGUAAGUCUGGUGUGAAAUCUAGGAGCUCAACUCCUAAACUGCACUGGAUACUGCUCUGCUGGAGGACUGGAGAGGAGACUGGAAUUUACGGUGUAGCGGUGAAAUGCGUAGAUAUCGUAAGGAAGACCAGUGGCGAAGGCGGGUCUCUGGACAGUUCCUGACGCUGAGGCACGAAGGCCAGGGGAGCAAACGGG